AGUGAACGCUGGCGGCAUGCUUUACACAUGCAAGUCGAACGGCAGCACGGACUUCGGUCUGGUGGCGAGUGGCGAACGGUGAGUAAUAUAUCGGAACGUGCCCAGUCGUGGGGGAUAACGUAGUGAAAAUUACGCUAAUACCGCAUACGAUCUAAGGAUGAAAGCGGGGGACCUUCGGGCCUCGCGCUACUGGAGCGGCCGAUAUCAGAUUAGGUAGUUGGUGGGGUAAAGGCCUACCAAGCCGACGAUCUGUAGCUGGUCUGAGAGGACGACCAGCCACACUGGGACUGAGACACGGCCCAGACUCCUACGGGAGGCAGCAGUGGGGAAUUUUGGACAAUGGACGCAAGUCUGAUCCAGCAAUGCCGCGUGCAGGACGAAGGCCUUCGGGUUGUAAACUGCUUUUGUACAGAACGAAAAGGCUCUGGUUAAUACCUGGGGCUCAUGACGGUACUGUAAGAAUAAGCACCGGCUAACUACGUG
RNAcentral lists this ribosomal RNA (483 nucleotides) under uncultured bacterium. RNAcentral describes it as "bacterial SSU rRNA". It matches the Rfam family "Bacterial small subunit ribosomal RNA", at positions 29 to 507 of the family's 1533-position model. The record is from RNAcentral.